RNAcentral lists this ribosomal RNA (481 nucleotides) under uncultured bacterium. Its description in RNAcentral is "partial 16S ribosomal RNA". It matches the Rfam family "Bacterial small subunit ribosomal RNA", at positions 28 to 507 of the family's 1533-position model. The record is from RNAcentral.
GAUGAACGCUGGCGGCGUGCUUAACACAUGCAAGUCGAACGAAGCACUUUUUUUGAUUUCCUUCGGGCCUGUUUCUUUUGUGACUGAGUGGCGGACGGGUGCGUAACGCGUGGGUAAGCUGCCUUGUACAGGGUGAUAACAGUUGGAAACGGCUGCUACUACUGCAUAAGCGCGCGGCAUCGCAUGCUGCAGUGUGAAAAGGUCGGUGGGUAUAAGAUGGAGCCGCGUUGGAUUUGCUAGUUGGUGAGGUAACGGCACACCAGGGCUACGAUCCAUACCCGAGCGGGGAGGCUGACCGGCCAGAUCGGGACUGAGACACGGACCAAACUCGGACGGGGGGCAGCAGUAGGGAAUAUUGCACAAUGAAGGAAAACCUGAUGCAGCGACGCCGGGGAUGCGAACAAUUAGUUCGGUAUGCAAAGCUCUAUCAGCAGAGAAGAUAAUGACGGUAACGGGCAAAGAAGCACCGGCUAAAUACGUG